Molecule: long non-coding RNA, 441 nt
Filed under: Homo sapiens (human)
Lineage: Eukaryota; Metazoa; Chordata; Mammalia; Primates; Hominidae
Description: HSALNT0003784
Source: RNAcentral
CUCUUUCCCUCUUUCUGGGUCUCCAUGGAACAGACAGCUGAGACAAGCCUGCUAGCCUCAUUGCCUUUGCACAAGCUCUUCCCUCUGCCUGGAACACUUGUUGCUUCAGGAGUCGGCUCGAUGUAACUUCUACAGGGACCUGAGCCCCAAUCCAAGUUAGACACCUGGUUAUUGCAGCAGCCUGUAUCUCACCGUCCCAGAAUGAAUCAUGACUGCAAUGAAAACGAUGGCAUGAGCAUUUGUUACCAUCAGGCUUCCGCCCUAGAUUAUGAGCUCCCUGAGGACAAGCAGAGGGUUCAUCUCUCUUUAUAGCUAGAACCCAGCACAGCGCCUGGCACUCAGGAGGCACCCAAUUACUUUGGCUGACUGGAUAGACAUACAUACAGACGGACGGAUAAAUGGCUGGAAGAGGAGUGAUUGAAAAAAUACAUUUUAAAAUGC